GUUCUACUGCAGGAGUGAACAGCUGCAGCUCCCCAGAGAUUUUUGGACUGCAGCACCUGUCCUCUCUAACCAUUGUCCCUGCUGGCUGGGGGCUGUUGGGAAUUGGAAAUCUAACAACCUCAGGAGGGCUACGGAUUGGCCAGCUCUGUUCUACUGCAUGCUAUUGGGGUAUAUGUGUGCAGUUUUCCCAUUUCAGCUGCAUCUACUCAUUUACUGCAACGUGGAGUUCAGCCCCUAGCCUGAAUUACACAUUGUCCUUACACCACCUCAGCAGGCUGGCAAGUUGCUGUAAAGGUGUAGCACACCCAACUGAAAAUAUUGGGGCAUUGUUACACUACAGACUUGUAAAGGUUUUGUAGUCAUUCUCUCAUCUCAGAAAAGUUGUGUGAGAAGAGGCUAGGAUCUCUUAACUGGCCAUCUUCAGCUCCAGUACCAGAUAGCAAUACACAGGAUUAUUUGGGGAAACUCAAGACAGUUAAAAACUAGCAUAAAAUGUAUGCAAUCUAGUAGAAAAAGUGUCCCGAUUAUAAAGUCCCGAGCAAGAGUGCCAGCUUGGCCCCACAACUGUGGGUGCCAUGCAGUGUGCAUGGCCCUGGCCCUGAAAUUUGUGGGUGCCCAGCCCCUUCAUGGGGAAUUUUGUGGGUGCUCAUGGCCCCAGGGAGUUGACAUCUAUGGUCCUAAGUCAGGAAUGCACCUAAAAGGUUUCAGAGGAGAAAUCCAGGGGUAAUGACCAGAGAUGUUCUGGAGCAGAGGCAAAAAGUUAAUGUAUCCCACCAGGAAACAGAACUGAUAGUAAUAAUGGGUCUGGGUCAAGAAUUCAAGUCAAAGACAAGGAAGCCUGAACCAGAGAUUUAAGGUAACUUUUGUGCAUGCUUGGGAACAAGAGAGGGGAUAAGGGAGGUGGGCAGACGGAGUACACCCCAUACAUCCAAAGCAUAUUUAAAUCAUGCUGCCACCCACCCCCCAAAAAGGAAUCCUGGGAAAUAUAGUGCUGGGAAUGCUAGUUAUGUGGGGGGUAAACUACAGUUCCACUGUAGUUAUUCAUCCCAGAGAGCUCUCUUAUCCUACUGAGUAUACAGUGAAUAACAUAAAAAGAUGAGGAUUUUUGAAAUAGUCCCAGCCAGGCCAUCUUGGGAGCAAGUGAUUUGAGAUAAUCUCACAAUCACAAAGCACAGGAUCUAUGAAAUCUCAUGACUGUAAACUUUUAUUCCUUCUGAAUAUACAGAAAGGAAAAGUAUAAAAAGGGAGGCAGGCCAUCUGGGAAAAACCAGUAUUCUCUGAGCCUUUUUCUGGGAAACAUCACAUCAAAAAUUGGCAAUGUUUCAGCAACAGGAGAUGAGGAAAGAGGGAUUCUGAAGACUUGAAUCAUGAUGACACAUAUGCAACACAAGGGGGAAAAUAUUUUCGUACUGAUUCAUCUCUGAAAGAAAUAUCACUAUCUACAUUUCUUAUCUCAGCAAAAGUAAACAAAGAAUAUAAGUAAUUAAGCCUGGGAUGGGCUUCAGUGCCCUGAUUUUAAACAUUAAUUUAACAGGGUAUAACUGACAUCUUGUCCGUUUGUUCUUUUGCAGAACCACUUCUGUAUUUUUCACAGCUAUCCAACAGGCAGAAAUUCAAAGGACACAGCUUUCCCUAGUAUGGAGAUGCAGUGAUGGCGAGAAUGGGGGGGGGGGGGAGGCAAUGAACUCCAUGUCUUAAUUUCUGCCUCUUGUGAUGGGCACAGUGGUUUAGGGUUACAGAGAAUGGAGGCACAAGCCAUCCAAUUAAUGGCUACAACAAAGGCAAGCAAAUGGUUCAGAACUGUGCGAAUGUGUCCAAACUGUGAGAGCUGCAUUUAAUUUGCAUCUUUCACUCAUUUGUAUACAGACACACAAAGACACUUGGCAUAAUCCUACACACUUGCCAUUGUUAGACACAUACCUCAUCCUUUCUCUCCCCUGAUCACACUCUCUCCUUCCCUGGUUGGGGCAAAUCAGGUGAAGAGGCAGUGAUGUUCACUUCCAUCAUGGCACCCUGGGCACAGAGAUUUAAACCUCCCUGCCUAGCAUGCUGUGGCAAGGGAUAAAAAUGACCCAUCCUGGUUCAGAGGCAAGGGGUGAGAAGGAGUAUGACCUGAGGGAAUGUGUGUGUGUAUGCACGCAAUGGGAAUAGUGCCAGGGUGUGUGUGGAUGGAGAGACCUGCUGGGUGGGCUACAGGUCCGUCUCCCCCGCUUUCCAAAACAGCACUGGGUAGAACUUAUAUAAUCAGAAACUAAUCGCAGCAUUUUACCACUAGGGCAAUCCAGUACAAACUUCAGGCUGCACCUUUGAGAAUAUCAUCUUAAAACUUAUUUUCUCCCACCAUAGAUGCUUUUUAGAUUCUUCACAGGCUCUGAAAGACACUCCUGAAACAUAAAUAUCUGCACACGCACAGACACCCCCUCCCCCAAUAUAAGAUCGAAAUCAUACUAAUAAUUAAAUAAGCCAUUCCACUGCAGAGAAGACUCCUUCAGAGAUUACCCAAAGAGAUAAGCAAUUGUUGAUGCAGAUGAAGUACCACUGCCGGAUCCAAUGUCUCUCGGUCACAGAGUCCGUGUAUGAGAUGAAUCCGAUAAGGCAGAAUUGAUUCCACAGGCAGAGGCGAGAGCCAACAUCCUGGAGCACUGCAACGGAAAUGCUGACAUUUAUGAACUCAGGCAUUCAUAAAUAAAGCAUCUUACAGUCAUGGUGAAGGAAGGAAAGCAAGAAGGAAAGAGAAGAAAGAUAAAAUUCACAGAAUGGAAAAUCCAUUAAGGCUUGCCUGUGACAAUCCUAUAUCAGAUAGGGGAAGAGUGAAAUGUAAGACGUCCAUUAAGUCAAAGAUGCUCUCAAUUCUCUGCAUUUUUCUACUGGGCUGGAAUCUCGCUUGGAAUCAACUUAAGAG
RNAcentral lists this long non-coding RNA (2902 nucleotides) under Podarcis lilfordi (Lilford's wall lizard). Lineage: Eukaryota; Metazoa; Chordata; Lepidosauria; Squamata; Lacertidae. The record is from RNAcentral.